GGGGGUGAAAGGUCUCGACUGCGGACGUACGUCCAGGGGAAGCGGGUCGAGGAUGCCGGGAAGAUCUCGUUAACCAUGACCGGCAAACCAAUAGGUGCCAAUAUCAAGCGCACCGACGUCGCUCUCGCUGCCUGACAGCGAGUAGUGCGUCUGUCAGCCUAGGACCGCCUCCGGCCUAGGACCUGGCAUCGCUAGGAGGCUCCACCGCUCGGCCCGGUCGCGGGGUCGUGCGGGACAUCGCACAGCGACUGGGCUCGGCGCCGGCUCGCCUGCGUGACCGGCGGAGCUGAGGAACCCGUAGCAGGCUGCACCCGGAGAAGCCCUGGUCCUGCUCCGUAGGACGCGGGUUCGAUUCCCGCCACCUCCACGC
Molecule: transfer-messenger RNA, 370 nt
Filed under: Vallicoccus soli
Lineage: Bacteria; Bacillati; Actinomycetota; Actinomycetes; Motilibacterales; Vallicoccaceae
Description: Standard tmRNA
Rfam family: transfer-messenger RNA
About the family: Bacterial tmRNA, also known as 10Sa RNA or SsrA, is named for its dual tRNA and mRNA-like properties.
Source: Rfam by way of RNAcentral